This 1131-nucleotide unclassified non-coding RNA is filed under the name Hevea brasiliensis (rubber tree). Lineage: Eukaryota; Viridiplantae; Streptophyta; Magnoliopsida; Malpighiales; Euphorbiaceae. The record is from RNAcentral.
UUGACAAACUAUGCAAGCAUAGAAAGUUAUUCAAAUCAAGUCACUUUUUUGCAUGAUUCGAGUUAUAGAAAGACUAUAAACAAUUUGACACCAUUCUCCUUAACCCCCAUAUACCUCCAAGCUCCAACCCCAACAAUGUCUCAGUCAAGCGUCUGAGGCAAAAGAAAAGGCCCAGUUAUUAAAGUCACCAAUUGGAAAAAGAGAUGGUAUUGACAUUAUAUUUGUAUAUGAUAAAUUGGGAAGAUAAUUGAGAGACCGACAGAAAAGGGUAACAAACAUUCACUACACCCUAAUUGAUUAGAUCACUAUCCUUGAAACUAACAUAAAAAAUGAACAUAUGACCCAGCCACUUCUCCUACCCCAACCAACUCAUUAACCUCACAACCUUCAUUUUAGUUUUUGACGCAUUCAACUUCUGAAUUUACACCAUAAACAUUCUUUCUUUCUCUGAUCAUUCUCAAAUAUGGGGAACCAAAGAUAUCAUCAUGCUUUGUGACGCUAUAGUUAUGAUUAACCAUCUGUCAGGUUGAGCUGAAGCCACAGCUGAAGUAUACUAAAACUACCACCACCUAAUUUCCGCAGCUUCCCCUCGACAAUCACAUUGUGGUGGGCCCAGAGAGCGGGAUCAGAAGGAACGGAUACGUACGCUCAAGGUCCUUGGUGAAAGUCAUGCACAUAUAANNNNNNNACCUUUGAGCUUGUUCUGAACCAGCUGCAACAGAAGUGGUGCUAGGACCAGCACCAUUUUCAACUGGAGGGGAGGUGCCCCAUUUUCCUUCCAUCUCCAAUGGUUCAAGCACAUGGACUCCCCCAUCCGUUAGUCCUAAUGCAAACUGAUUGGGCUCAGACGGAUGUGCAGCAAUGACAAGAGGAUAUACCCUCAUGCUAGGAUUGGGGGGUAAAUAAGCAGUAGCAUUUAUUCUGCAUCUCAAACUUAGUGUUGAAGCAGUAAGAACACCAACGCUACCAUCUUCGAAGCUAACAUAUAUGGACUGGCUAUCACAAGAAUAUGCAGCAUGUGUAAUUGGACCAGUUGCUUCUCGAGGAAGAAACCACUGUUUAAGGCGUUCGAAUUUUGGUGCUUCAUAUAUAGCUAUUUGCGAUUCGUGAACUGCCAGCAGAUGCGUCUGG